Homo sapiens (human) is the source of this 903-nucleotide long non-coding RNA. RefSeq lists it as uncharacterized. The record is from RefSeq and is a predicted model, not a curated record. The transcript is spliced from 4 exons. Lineage: Eukaryota; Metazoa; Chordata; Mammalia; Primates; Hominidae.
UGUUUUAUUUUAAAAUGUACACACACAGUUCAGUCUCGUAUACGUGUAGUUAAAUAACUUUUUCAAUCGGUACCAACGGGGCACACAUUGCAAAGCAUGCAUCUCUCCGACUUUGUCUUCAGGGGCCCGCGUGCCCGCCCCAGAAGCAUCUUCAGUUCCCAGUGUCUGUGUGUCCUUCCAGGGAGUAGCUUAGGAACACACAAGCAGAAAUGCACAGAUAGAAAUACAUAUUCCUCAAAAGAUCAGCGGGAGGGGCCUUCAUGGGUCUCCUGCACCCACUUGGCUUGAAAAAUUCUCUCAAACCGUCACCCCAGUCUCAUCAUGAGAAAAACAUCAGACCAAUCCCAAUGCAGGCGCAUCCUGCAGCUCCGUGACCAGCAAGCCUCGAAACUGUCAAGGUCACCUGCCUCGAAACUGUCAAGGUCAUCAAAUCAAAACCAAGGUGAUCAGAGAAGGUUUCUUUGAGGGUGACAUUUGAGCAAAGACGUGAAUAAAGAGACAGUUGGAGCCAUGUGGAGAUGUGAGGAGGAGGGUUCCAGGCCAGGGGACCCGUACGUGCCAAGGCCCUGAGAGCACACAAUUUAACCCAGGACAGCAGGGAGACAGCACCCCAGGCCGAGUGAAGGGGAGGACCGCACAGGCAAACGCUGGCCUGGCGAGGCACCAGAGGCUGUAGAGGAAAGCGCCUCCCACCUGUGAGAUGCCAACAAGAUACCCAGGGUCUGAAGAGUCUUAAAAGAAAAGCAAGGAGCGGGGGUAUGAUAUCCGACCAAAGAGCAAACGCCCGAGCCACUUGGCACUGCACUCUAACUGGGAGGCUGAGCACACAAAUUAGAUGUUUGUAAGAAUAAACAGUCAUUAGAACUCGAGAACUAGAGGAGAAAUAAACAUCAUUUCAAGAUA